Molecule: ribosomal RNA, 253 nt
Filed under: uncultured bacterium
Lineage: Bacteria
Description: partial 16S ribosomal RNA
Rfam family: Bacterial small subunit ribosomal RNA
Source: RNAcentral
UACGUAGGGUGCAGGCGUUAAUCGGAAUUACUGGGCGUAAAGGGCUCGUAGGUGGCCAACUAAGUCAGACGUGAAAUCCCUCGGCUUAACCGGGGAACUGCGUCUGAUACUGGAUGGCUUGAGUUCGGGAGAGGGAUGCGGAAUUCCAGGUGUAGCGGUGAAAUGCGUAGAUAUCUGGAGGAACACCGGUGGCGAAGGCGGCAUCCUGGACCGACACUGACACUGAGGAGCGAAAGCCAGGGGAGCAAACGGG